GACUCAACCGUGAUCCUGUUAACUAGCCAGAUCUCCGACAUUGAAGCCAACAGAUAUCCAAUUGAUAUCCUCUGUGAAUUAGAUAAACACAUUUUCAAUAUGCAUGUUAGCUUAAAAAGCCUAACUUAUUCUCAAUCUGAAAGUUAGCUUA
Molecule: long non-coding RNA, 151 nt
Organism: Juglans microcarpa x Juglans regia
Lineage: Eukaryota; Viridiplantae; Streptophyta; Magnoliopsida; Fagales; Juglandaceae
Exons: 4
Source: RefSeq, a predicted model, not a curated record